GAUGGACGCUGGCGGCGUGCCUAAUACAUGCAAGUCGAGCGAACAGACGAGGAGCUUGCUCCUCUGACGUUAGCGGCGGACGGGUGAGUAACACGUGGAUAACCUACCUAUAAGACUGGGAUAACUUCGGGAAACCGGAGCUAAUACCGGAUAAUAUAUUGAACCGCAUGGUUCAAUAGUGAAAGACGGUUUUGCUGUCACUUAUAGAUGGAUCCGCGCCGCAUUAGCUAGUUGGUAAGGUAACGGCUUACCAAGGCAACGAUGCGUAGCCGACCUGAGAGGGUGAUCGGCCACACUGGAACUGAGACACGGUCCAGACUCCUACGGGAGGCAGCAGUAGGGAGUCUUCCGCAAUGGGCGAAAGCCUGACGGAGCAACGCCGCGUGAGUGAUGAAGGUCUUCGGAUCGUAAAACUCUGUUAUUAGGGAAGAACAAAUGUGUAAGUAACUAUGCACGUCUUGACGGUACCUAAUCAGAAAGCCACGGCUAACUACGUG
Molecule: ribosomal RNA, 497 nt
Filed under: uncultured bacterium
Lineage: Bacteria
Description: partial 16S ribosomal RNA
Rfam family: Bacterial small subunit ribosomal RNA
Source: RNAcentral